This 1364-nucleotide ribosomal RNA is filed under the name uncultured beta proteobacterium. Its description in RNAcentral is "bacterial SSU rRNA". It matches the Rfam family "Bacterial small subunit ribosomal RNA", at positions 27 to 1391 of the family's 1533-position model. Lineage: Bacteria; Pseudomonadati; Pseudomonadota; Betaproteobacteria. The record is from RNAcentral.
GAUUGAACGCUGGCGGCAUGCCUUACACAUGCAAGUCGAACGGCAGCACGGGUGCUUGCACCUGGUGGCGAGUGGCGAACGGGUGAGUAAUACAUCGGAACAUGUCCUGUAGUGGGGGAUAGCCCGGCGAAAGCCGGAUUAAUACCGCAUACGAUCUACGGAUGAAAGCGGGGGACCUUCGGGCCUCGCGCUAUAGGGUUGGCCGAUGGCUGAUUAGCUAGUUGGUGGGGUAAAGGCCUACCAAGGCGACGAUCAGUAGCUGGUCUGAGAGGACGACCAGCCACACUGGGACUGAGACACGGCCCAGACUCCUACGGGAGGCAGCAGUGGGGAAUUUUGGACAAUGGGCGAAAGCCUGAUCCAGCAAUGCCGCGUGCGUGAAGAAGGCCUUCGGGUUGUAAAGCACUUUUGUCCGGAAAGAAAUCCUUGGCUCUAAUACAGUCGGGGGAUGACGGUACCGGAAGAAUAAGCACCGGCUAACUACGUGCCAGCAGCCGCGGUAAUACGUAGGGUGCGAGCGUUAAUCGGAAUUACUGGGCGUAAAGCGUGCGCAGCGGUUUGCUAAGACCGAUGUGAAAUCCCCGGGCUCAACCUGGGAACUGCAUUGGUGACUGGCAGGCUAGAGUAUGGCAGAGGGGGGUAGAAUUCCACGUGUAGCAGUGAAAUGCGUAGAGAUGUGGAGGAAUACCGAUGGCGAAGGCAGCCCCCUGGGCCAAUACUGACGCUCAUGCACGAAAGCGUGGGGAGCAAACAGGAUUAGAUACCCUGGUAGUCCACGCCCUAAACGAUGUCAACUAGUUGUUGGGGAUUCAUUUCCUUAGUAACGUAGCUAACGCGUGAAGUUGACCGCCUGGGGAGUACGGUCGCAAGAUUAAAACUCAAAGGAAUUGACGGGGACCCGCACAAGCGGUGGAUGAUGUGGAUUAAUUCGAUGCAACGCGAAAAACCUUACCUACCCUUGACAUGGUCGGAAUCCCGCUGAGAGGUGGGAGUGCUCGAAAGAGAACCGGCGCACAGGUGCUGCAUGGCUGUCGUCAGCUCGUGUCGUGAGAUGUUGGGUUAAGUCCCGCAACGAGCGCAACCCUUGUCCUUAGUUGCUACGCAAGAGCACUCUAAGGAGACUGCCGGUGACAAACCGGAGGAAGGUGGGGAUGACGUCAAGUCCUCAUGGCCCUUAUGGGUAGGGCUUCACACGUCAUACAAUGGUCGGAACAGAGGGUUGCCAACCCGCGAGGGGGAGCUAAUCCCAGAAAACCGAUCGUAGUCCGGAUUGCACUCUGCAACUCGAGUGCAUGAAGCUGGAAUCGCUAGUAAUCGCGGAUCAGCAUGCUGCGGUGAAUACGUUCCCGGGUCUUGUACACACC